This 459-nucleotide ribosomal RNA is filed under the name uncultured bacterium. RNAcentral's name for it is "partial 16S ribosomal RNA". It matches the Rfam family "Bacterial small subunit ribosomal RNA", at positions 338 to 795 of the family's 1533-position model. The record is from RNAcentral.
CCUACGGGAGACUGCAGUGAGGAAUAUUGGUCAAUGGGCGCGAGCCUGAACCAGCCAAGUCGCGUGAGGGAAGACGGUCCUAUGGAUUGUAAACCUCUUUUGUCGGGGAGCAAAAGACGCCACGCGUGGCGUUCCGAGAGUACCCGAAGAAAAAGCAUCGGCUAACUCCGUGCCAGCAGCCGCGGUAAUACGGAGGAUACGAGCGGUAUCCGGAUUUAUUGGGGUUAAAGGGUGCGUAGGCGGAAGAGCAAGUCAGCGGUAAAAUUGAGAGGCUCAACCUCUUCGAGCCGUUGAAACUGGUGUUCUUGAGUGAGUGAGAAGUAUGCGGAAUGCGUGGUGUAGCGGUGAAAUGCAUAGAUAUCACGCAGAACUCCGAUUGCGAAGGCAGCAUACCGGCGCUCAACUGACGCUCAUGCACGAAAGUGUGGGUAUCGAACAGGAUUAGAUACCCUGGUAGUC